Molecule: unclassified non-coding RNA, 322 nt
Filed under: uncultured Phellinus
Lineage: Eukaryota; Fungi; Basidiomycota; Agaricomycetes; Hymenochaetales; Hymenochaetaceae
Description: partial contains 5.8S ribosomal RNA, internal transcribed spacer 2, and large subunit ribosomal RNA
Rfam family: 5.8S ribosomal RNA (bases 1-52)
Source: RNAcentral
AACGCACCUUGCGCCCCUUGGUAUUCCGAGGGGCAUGCCUGUUUGAGUGUCAUGUCAUUCUCAAUCCUCUUUUUCUUAAUUGAAGAAGAGGCUUGGACUUGGAGGGUAUAUCCAUGCUGGUACUGUCUGUAUUGGCUCCUCUCAAAUGCAUUAGCUGGACUGUAGUUCGCAUUGUUUGGUGUAGUAAUAGUUUUCUAUCUAUAGUCACUACAGUGCUUGCUUAGACUGUCUGCUUCCAAUAGUCCACCUAUGUGUUGGACAGGUACUCUGUUACCUUGACCCAUUUGACCUCAAAUCAGGUAGGACUACCCGCUGAACUUAA